CCGGCGCUAAAACCGUAGUCCAUCCCCCUGGGACCCGGAGGGAGCCCUUCUAUUAAUAGAUACCAUUUCUGGAUUUGGAAAGGGGCCCUACCCUAACUGGGUUCAGUCUAUAGACCUCGAAGCUCCUAGGCCACAAUGGCUCCUUUAUCGACCUACCGCAGUCUUUAAAAAAAUCUCUACUGGGCUGGGCGCGGUGGCUCACGCCUGUAAUCCCAGCACUUUGGGAGGCCGACGGGGGGUGGAUCACCUGAGGUCAGAAGUUCGCGUCCAGGCUGGCCAACAUGGUGAAACCCCGUCUGUACUAAAAAUACAAAAAGUUAGCCGGACGUGGUGGCGCAUGCCUGUAAUCCCAGCUACUUGGGAGGCUGAGGCAGGAGAAUCGCUUGAAUCCGGGAGGUGGAGGUUGCAGUGAGCCGAGAUCGUGCCGUUGCACUCCAGCCUGAGCAACAGAGCGAGACUCUGUCUAAAAAAUAAGAUAAAAUAAAUCUCUACUGCUGUGCUUGCUCUGUGAGAAAAGACCUGGUUUGUUUAGAACCAUCCUUCCUCCUAGCACUUCUAGUUUGUUAAGGCCUGCAAUCUCUCAAGCUUGAUGCUUUCACGCUGUGCCCAGACGUUCAAGAGCCUCAGCUUCUGUGAGCCACCAGGCCGAACAUUGCUGUGCUCUGUAGUAGAGGACUUAAUCCUGACCUUGGAAGGGAUCUCAUGAAGCAAAUAUUCGUCAGUUUUCCACUUUCUCUUUUCCUGUGUUAGAUUCUUGCCUUUAGCUUUAUAAUAGUGGACAAGUCUCCCAUUGCAAUAAAAAUAACUGCUGAUUCUUCAACUCCUCA
Molecule: long non-coding RNA, 827 nt
Organism: Symphalangus syndactylus (siamang)
Lineage: Eukaryota; Metazoa; Chordata; Mammalia; Primates; Hylobatidae
Source: RefSeq, a predicted model, not a curated record